CAGCGCACGCGCUUCUCAGCUCGGCUCUGCCUCUCUCGAUCUCCUCUCCAAACCCUAACCCUAACCACCAGCCUCCACUCCCUGUCGCGCCGCCGCCUCCGCUCCCUGCCGCGCCGCCGCCUCCGCUUCCUGCCGCGUCGCCACCUCUGCUCGCCCUCGGGUCGUCGCUUCCGCUCGCCCUCGCGUCGUCGCAUCGCCUCCUCCUCCUCGCCAUCUCGGUGCUCACCGGGAGGAGCACGGCUCGCCACCGCAGCUACUCCGCGUCGCUGCUCCCCCAUUGAGCUCGUGCGUCCCCAUCGCCUGGAGAAGCGGAGGCUGCAGCUCCUGCAUCUGCUCGGCCCUCUUUCCCUCGUCAGUGAGCGGCUCAUGGCAGCUUCAGAUCCACUGUGCAGCACAUGUUGUCUGUUCUGCAAGAUCGACGCUGGCCUUCUACAUCAUGCGGUGGCCAUGGCCAGUGCUCUGCCGCCUCCAACUUAGGCCUCCGUCUCCACUUCAUUAGGUUGACCCCCCCCCCCUUCUCUGACCUUUGCUUUUUCCAUGUAUUGGCUUGCAGGUCGCCACCUGGUGGGUACUGGCUCGAAGGUGACGAGGUACACCAGCAGUUGGAUCAAGACUAUAUGAGGUGAUGACAAACUGUGUAAUCUUCAGAUCCACUUGACCAUAGCAAGUAUCUGCAAGGUCAGAUUCUUGUGUCACUUGCUUAUAUCCGAUGAAGAGAGUCUACUUCAUACAGAUGUUUCAUUUUACCUAGGGAUAAAAAGUGCAAUGUAAAGGUUCAUUAAACAAUCUGAACUUAUAUCUAUUAUUUAGGUGCUGGAUUUGUCUAUUUGAACUUUAUUGGUACUGAAUUUAUCUCGAUGACUGAUAUUCAUUGAUGUAACAUGUGCUGGGAUAAAUAAUAUACAAGUGGAUACGAGGGAUAGAUAAUACAAUAGAUGAGGGCGAGCUUCAGAUUUUUGAGAAGUGUUUUUAAUGAUAACUAAAUUCUUUCAAAGUAAGGGAAUGAUUUAAACUUCUGUCGUAAACAAUGGUGUGCCUCACAUCAUUUGGAUUUGAAAUUAUUGGAUUGAGUUGAUAUGAUGCGAUAUAAGGAAAUAGUCAUCUGCACAUAUACUAAUGUAGAUACAGUCUCUUUGCAACAGAAGUAUUUAUGGAUUUUUUUGUUUCAUUUGUGGCACAAGGGAAACCAUGGUUGAUGAUUCCUUGCCUUUCCAGUGCUUGGGCGCACCUAGCAGCUGCUUCACGCCUCUUGAGAAUGCCGGUAUCCCUUACUUAGGUUGGUGCUGUACGGCUUGGUUGAGCUCAAAAUUCAACGGAGACGGCAAUUGUCAGUUUUGGGCGUCGUCUGUUCAAUUUUACCGAACUCCUGAACACCGUAUAUUUGUACGGCAACAGCUGGUGAAGCAUGUUAGUAUUAUCAAAGUGGCUACUUUUAUCAGGGUCCUUCUCACAGUAACCCUUGAAUCUCAUUGGCUCAUCAUGAGGUAUAUACUGGAUAUGUCCCUAUGGAUUACAGAGAAUAUCUUAAGAAGAUGCCAAAGUCGGUGCCUGCUCCUUUUCACUAUUUAUUUACCAGUAAAUAUUUAUCAAUUAGAGUGGAAGGAUGAACUGUUCGUACAUUUUUAUGCUUAUUACUGAACCAACUAGAGAUGGACAGUGAGGUGAUCAUGUUACACUGCAGGCUGCCACGGACUUGGUAGCAUGUUUCUUCCUCACCUUAUUAUAUUACCAAUCUGUCGCACCUGUAUGUACAUUCUCAGGGUAUCUAUGUAGUGCAUAUAGUUCAUGAUUGACUAAUAGUAAUUUAGUUUUGACUGCCAUCAUAUCAGAAUAGUUAGAUUGCAGUUUCAAUCAUAAAUAGCUCAGUUUAUGAUUGAACUAUUGCUGCUGUCCAAGACCUUUCGAUUUUAUAUCCGGGUGAUCUUUCUGUUGGACUUUCUGAUCCUCCUAGCUGCACCUUGGCGAAGUCUGUCGGAAUUUCUGAUUCUGAUAACGAUCAGUACGUGUGAUGGUCCAUUAAUCAUUUUGUUGAAAGUGCAUUUUUAAAAGAAACUUCCGCAUGGUUAAAUAAUACACAUGCGGACAUGCGGUUUAGUUGAUUUGGUCUUACAGAUAUUAUGGAUUUCUGGUUUAGAUACCGGAAUCGCUGAUAAAUACCACGCCUAGCCUCUGUUUCCCUUCCUUAGCAAACAGUGCUAAGCACACGUUUAUGGCAUUCCUGUCUACCCUGAAGCAAAAUAAAGGAACAACCCGUGGUAAAAGGCUUGUAUAUGGCCCAAUCAAUUAAACAUUGACAUGGCGGAAGCCGAAUAUAUGGUUCUUCCAGUUAUUGGUUACCCUUUUGCAUUCUCAGAGCAAUUGAAUUAAUAUGAUGAUAAAACGUACUAACCAGUUAAGUACCAUGGUUUCAGAACCAUAUUCUGAUAUUCAUACAGGCAAAUCAUUUUGAGGCGAAGAACCGGAUGUCUUUUUCCUCAAAGUAACUUAAACCAAGCUACCGGUCCUAUAGCUUGGGGUCUCAUUGCGCAUGCGUAUCUACUGUAGUGUGUUGUUGUUUGUUUUGUACAACUUAUAAGAUACUCUGCAUAUGAUGCCUAUGAAUGUAAGAUCAUGUAGCAAUGUUUUUUUUCCUUCUUUCCGGGAGAGCCUUUAGCUGCUAACAAACAUUGUGUUGUUUAUUGUGUGAGAGUUUUAAGCAGAGGAACCAAGUAGAAACUGCCCAGGCCUUACUUGUGUUGAUGUGAUGCCUUAGCAUAUAUGAUUUCAAAUCAAACAUUGUUAUAUCUUCUAAAUCAGUGUUUCCCAUCACACAACAUAAAUUAGUGAUUCAAAUUGAUAUGGGAGUGCUCUAAGAAAUUGCCUAAUGUUCGAAACAAUUAGUGGUUCAAAUUGCAAUAUAUUGUAAACGAUUUAUUGUUUUAAGAAUGUUACCAGGGUUUGAGAUUCAAUUGGUGAGGUCGGAUUUACUUUUAUAUUGUUUGGGUCAUGUUUACAUGUUUUUCUUGGUUGCAAGUGCUCUACAAUUUUAUAUUGACCGCACUUAUAAUGCUUAGAGAGUUCCAAGCACGAAACCAUGGUAUGCACGGUUGGUUAGACCUUCAAAAUUAUAUGGUCUCCAGCUCAUCAACUCUUUGAAAAUAAAAGUCAGAGUUUUCUGGUCCACUACUUGCCAGGGAAUACUUACCUUGCCAUUUGGUGUGAUUAUGUGCUCUUAUGGGGCUGGUUUUGUUGUAGAUUGGUGAACUCAAGAGGCUGUUGGAGGGAGGUCAAGUAUGUUGGGUUAUAGAGGCGAGCCCCGACACCAUCAGGCAUUCUUACAUUGUGCACCUGAUCUCUACCAUGUAGUGGAAUGGUCUAUGUGGGCUUGCCCGAGAUUGCCCCUCUUUGCAGGUGAAUUGGGCACUUUACAAACUCGACUUCUGUGCUUCCAUAAUCAAUAGUCCUGAUUGAAUGAGUUGUAUCGGUUAUGUAAACUCGCUUCAUGCGUGACUUACUGUGCACAUAUAAGCUAUGCUAUAUUGUUCAUACACUUCCUAUUCCUGUGACUCAUCAUCUGGAUGGUAGAGUAAUAAUUAGUUGUGACGUUUGUUGGUAUAA
Molecule: RNA transcript, 3597 nt
Organism: Triticum aestivum (bread wheat)
Lineage: Eukaryota; Viridiplantae; Streptophyta; Magnoliopsida; Poales; Poaceae
Exons: 5
Source: RefSeq, a predicted model, not a curated record